AUGAAUGAUGAUGCCUUCUCAAAUCUCAUUGUAUUAUGUAUUACAACUCAAUUAAAUGAUCAAGAUGAAACAAGGGUGACAAAUAUUAGCAGGUUUGGGUGUUACAUUCAGACUGCUCACCGAUUCGCUGGCAUUCCAAUCUUUGGAAGCCUUCAAGGCCCGACACAAGAACAAGCCAUUUACUCUCACGCAUUGUUGGUCGCUCAUCAAAGAUUGCCCCAUGUUCAAAGACCAAUAUGCCGCUCACAAGGAGGGAAGGCGGCCGGGGCUGAGGAGGGAGACUUGCUCAAGAGGCCGAGGGGCAAGACCAGCUCGAAGGCCGACGAGAAGCGUGAUGCGGCUUCCAUGGCCUUGCAAGCAACUUCGGAAGGCAUGAUGAGUCAAAAGGAAGUGAGGGAGGAGAGGAGGAGCAAAUGA
RNAcentral lists this ribosomal RNA (417 nucleotides) under Triticum aestivum (bread wheat). RNAcentral's name for it is "partial small subunit ribosomal RNA". Lineage: Eukaryota; Viridiplantae; Streptophyta; Magnoliopsida; Poales; Poaceae. The record is from RNAcentral.